RNAcentral lists this transfer RNA (58 nucleotides) under Nostoc sp. HG1. RNAcentral's name for it is "tRNA-Ile". It matches the Rfam family "tRNA", at positions 8 to 62 of the family's 71-position model. Rfam says of the family: Transfer RNA (tRNA) molecules are approximately 80 nucleotides in length. Their secondary structure includes four short double-helical elements and three loops (D, anti-codon, and T loops). Lineage: Bacteria; Bacillati; Cyanobacteriota; Cyanophyceae; Nostocales; Nostocaceae. The record is from RNAcentral.
UAGCUCAGCUGGUUAGAGCAUCGUCUUGAUAAGGCGGGGGUCGUUGGUUCGAGUCCAA